RNAcentral lists this ribosomal RNA (327 nucleotides) under Arthrobacter sp. RNAcentral describes it as "bacterial SSU rRNA". It matches the Rfam family "Bacterial small subunit ribosomal RNA", at positions 99 to 426 of the family's 1533-position model. Lineage: Bacteria; Bacillati; Actinomycetota; Actinomycetes; Micrococcales; Micrococcaceae. The record is from RNAcentral.
CGAACGGGUGAGUAACACGUGAGUAACCUGCCCUUGACUCUGGGAUAAGCCUGGGAAACUGGGUCUAAUACCGGAUAUGACUCCUCAUCGCAUGGGGGGGGGUGGAAAGCUUUUUGUGGUUUUGGAUGGACUCGCGGCCUAUCAGCUUGUUGGUGGGGUAAUGGCCUACCAAGGCGACGACGGGUAGCCGGCCUGAGAGGGUGACCGGCCACACUGGGACUGAGACACGGCCCAGACUCCUACAGGAGGCAGCAGUGGGGAAUAUUGCACAAUGGGCGCAAGCCUGAUGCAGCGACGCCGCGUGAGGGAUGACGGCCUUCGGGUUGU